This 722-nucleotide ribosomal RNA is filed under the name uncultured Acidobacteriota bacterium. RNAcentral's name for it is "bacterial SSU rRNA". It matches the Rfam family "Bacterial small subunit ribosomal RNA", at positions 71 to 776 of the family's 1533-position model. Lineage: Bacteria; Pseudomonadati; Acidobacteriota. The record is from RNAcentral.
GGUUAGUAGCAAUACUAACUGAGUGGCGAACGGGUGAGUAACACGUGGGUGACCUACCUUCGAGUGGGGGAUAACGUCCCGAAAGGGACGCUAAUACCGCAUAACAUCCUGCCUUUGAACAGGCGGAGAUCAAAGCCGGGGAUCGCAAGACCUGGCGCUUGAUGAGGGGCCCGCGUCUGAUUAGCUAGUUGGUGAGGUAACGGCCCACCAAGGCGACGAUCAGUAUCCGGCCUGAGAGGGCGGACGGACACACUGGGACUGAGACACGGCCCAGACUCCUACGGGAGGCAGCAGUGGGGAAUUGUUCACAAUGGGCGCAAGCCUGAUGACGCAACGCCGCGUGGAGGAUGAAGGUCUUCGGAUUGUAAACUCCUGUUGCUCGGGACGAAAAGCUUCGACCUAAUACGUCGAGGUCUGACGGUACCGAGUGAGGAAGCCCCGGCUAACUCUGUGCCAGCAGCCGCGGUAAUACAGAGGGGGCAAGCGUUGUUCGGAAUUACUGGGCGUAAAGGGCGCGUAGGCGGCCUGCUAAGUCGAACGUGAAAUCCCCGAGCUCAACUCGGGAACUGCGUCCGAUACUGACAGGCUUGAAUCCGGGAGAGGGAUGCGGAAUUCCAGGUGUAGCGGUGAAAUGCGUAGAUAUCUGGAGGAACACCGGUGGCGAAGGCGGCAUCCUGGACCGGCAUUGACGCUGAGGCGCGAAAGCUAGGGGAGCAAACGGG